This 489-nucleotide long non-coding RNA is filed under the name Bos taurus (domestic cattle). Its description in RNAcentral is "long non-coding RNA NONBTAT011456". Lineage: Eukaryota; Metazoa; Chordata; Mammalia; Artiodactyla; Bovidae. The record is from RNAcentral.
CUUUCAAAUUUCCUUGGAGGCUGGAAAGGUUAAACCAGAAGUGCAAUCAAUAGGAAUUUGAGAAUGUUGUGUGUUUAUGUCUAUAAGGGUUUUUGUAAGGAAAGUUGAUUGCAAGUAAACUUUUUCCAAAAUAUGCUAUGCAUGUUUUUAAUGAAGAAUGACAUGUAUUUGCACAAAAAUUCUCAGGCACAGUCUAAUAUUAUAAACUGAAGUAAAACCCAGGUGCUUGCUUUGAGAUUGAAUUAGGAAGAAACAGACCUGUUUUUUGAGUAUUGCUGACCAAGGUCUUUAUCUCGGCCAUGAAGUUCAGAAAGAAAUGCCAUCACACAAAAGGCAUAAUAGAGAGAAGCUAGAAGGGGGCUAGUUAUUUUUGAAAAGGGGAGGCAUGUUACUUGAUCUUUUCAGUGUUUCAUUAGCAGAUUUUUUGCCCCUUUGUUCUGACUUAAAGUGCAAGGCCUUUUCUGAAGUAUUCUUGAUGGGAGUUUUGCU